AUUCAAACACUGGUUCUCAUAUGAUUACCAAAGUUAAGCAAUGUCGAGCUCGGUCAAUACCAAGAUGGGUAACUGCUUGGGAAUUGCAUGUGCGGUAAG
Acanthosepion pharaonis is the source of this 99-nucleotide non-coding RNA. NCBI's taxonomy places the organism in Eukaryota, Metazoa, Mollusca, Cephalopoda, Sepiida, Sepiidae. The record is from the annotation of a GenBank genome assembly.